Molecule: non-coding RNA, 72 nt
Organism: Ictidomys tridecemlineatus (thirteen-lined ground squirrel)
Lineage: Eukaryota; Metazoa; Chordata; Mammalia; Rodentia; Sciuridae
Source: Rfam
GGGGGUAUAGCUCAGUGGUAGAGCACUUUCUUGGUAUGUGUGAGGCCCUGGGUUCAAGCUCCAGCACCCCAU